CCCCGAUUGUUUAUUUUUCAGAAAAUCUGAAAUACACUGUGAUACGAACAGAAGCACUGAAUGUCAUCAGACUUAUAGUCAACAGGCUCAAAGAAAGCAGUAAACUAUCAAUAUUGUCGGACGCAAUCCACCAGCAGUUAAAGGAGUGUUUGACAGUUACGGCUACAGGAGAAACCAGCCCAGAGCUGCAGGAUAGUGCCAAGGAACUACUCAAAUCUGUUCACUGAUCAACAUCCUCAUCUCCAGUCCAUUUACUUGUCAUACAUGUCCCUCUAAACAUUUCAAGGUUACAGCAAACUUUAAAAAAAAAAUCAACUGAAAACUUGUGUUUAUUCAACAUAAAAUUCAAGGUUGUAUGGACAACAUUUGUCGAAGAAAAAAUGGGAAGCUGAUUUUAGUUUCUUUAGUAUCAUGGCUAAGGUUAAUAAACUUUAUAAUCUAUAUUGAACAGGAUCAUAAAAUGAUUCUAUAUUUCCUAUUUGGACCAUGCACAAACUUUCUAAAUGGAAACCUCCAGACUUUUGUAUGCAGUGCCAUUUUCAUUAUAGAAACUAUAAAUGGGUCCUUUAAGGAGUAUCUUUUCACAAAGUUGUUAACGUGCAUAUUGUAUGGGGUUUCUACCUGGAAUAUCUCAUCGAAGGGAUUUGAUCCCUGUAACCAAUAUUCUCCCAGGCCAGUGUUGUUCUGUGAUACAAAGCAAGCAGUGAUAUUUAAAGGACAGUGAAUACAAUAAAUUUGUGUAUUGCUUUGAAAAGGAUAACUUAUUUCAAUUUCCGAAACCUUCUUAAUGUAAAUCAGAUGAUUUCCCUUAGGGAAACAAAAUAGAGACUUGAUCGUCAGUGAAGUGAACUUUUCCAUGGUUUGUUUUUAAGAUAUACUCUAGGAACACUUCCAAUAAACUUUAUUGAGUGGAAAUUCUCUUGCUUUUGAAUUUUUGAGAAAUUUUUACAAGCACAAAUUUCCAUUUUAUAACUGUUUUCAGAUAUUCCAGAUAUACCAGAAGGAGGUUAGCUUUAUUCUAACAAAGUGGAGACAGAUUAAAUGGUUAUAUAUAGUACAUGUACAAAAAUAAUGUACAAGUGAAAGAUGGAUUUAAUUUAUUACAUAUAAUGUACUAGAAACACAUAAGAUGUCAGUUUGAGACAAUUUGAGGAUUUGAAAAGAAUAGCUUAGAAUACUUAUUUGGGUUCAGUAGUUGUUGAACAGACACAAUUUCUUUUCAACAAGAAAAUAUUUGGUGACAAUUUUUAUGUUUCGUGUUCUUGAGUUGUUGAAACACUGUUUGUGUACUGUUAAGACUAUCAGUUUGUUUCUGCAUCUACUGAACAGGAGUUGAAGUUAUUGAUUUAUGAAGUAAUAAAACAAGAUUCUAAAA
Mizuhopecten yessoensis (Yesso scallop) is the source of this 1375-nucleotide long non-coding RNA. RefSeq lists it as uncharacterized. The transcript is spliced from 2 exons. Lineage: Eukaryota; Metazoa; Mollusca; Bivalvia; Pectinida; Pectinidae. The record is from RefSeq and is a predicted model, not a curated record.